UUGUCCCCAAUUUGGAUGGUGGUAGAUGCUCCAAUGGGAAGCCGUUGGCUUGUCUUGGAGACCCUUCUAGCAGAAGAAGAGAAUAUUUAUAGCUUGGGUUUCAACUGUGGGGUCCUUGGUGGGCUCUGAGUUUGGCGGUUUUCUUGGUGACAUUUCAUGACCCAACUAGGUGACAUUAUCAGGGCAAGAAGGAAGUAGGGUUUGCUUUCAGGUUAUGUACAAGUGGAGAGUGUUGGUUUUUGGCGGCGUCCUCUCUCAGAGCUUGGUUGUUUGUUUUUUUGAAGAUGUUUCAUGACCCAACUAGAUCACAUCAUCAGUGCUAAGAGGAAAGGGGCUUUCAGCUUCAGAUUUGUCUUGCUGCUUCCAAGAAGUACUUGAGGGACAAAUCCUGCUUUCUGCAGAGAACAGAAAGAGGAAGCCUUGUUCCUUGACACCCAUUUCAAACUUGGCUCUGCCCAGCAGGCCACCUACAGAUAGCGCAUGGCGUCCAAUGGCUGCUUUGCUGGAGAACAUGUGGCCUGGAAUCUCAUUGCUGUAUUAUGUUUUGGGGGAGUCCCCCCAUCUCAACAUCUGGAUCCAACUAGCAGCAGCCAAUGUGGUUGGGACUGGAAGGGAGGGGCCUGCUUUCCUCCCUCCUUUCAUCCAACAAGCUUUGCAAAGUCACGUUGGCUGCCCAGAGGCAAAGUCCAGGAGUUUCUCAUUAACCAGGAAUGAGAAUGGCUGACCAGAUCCAGCUGCAAAGAUGCCG
This is a long non-coding RNA of Ahaetulla prasina, 748 nucleotides long. RefSeq lists it as uncharacterized. The transcript has 3 exons. The record is from RefSeq and is a predicted model, not a curated record. Lineage: Eukaryota; Metazoa; Chordata; Lepidosauria; Squamata; Colubridae.